RNAcentral lists this ribosomal RNA (852 nucleotides) under uncultured bacterium. RNAcentral's name for it is "bacterial SSU rRNA". It matches the Rfam family "Bacterial small subunit ribosomal RNA", at positions 45 to 923 of the family's 1533-position model. The record is from RNAcentral.
UGCCUAACCAUGCAAGUCGAACGGUCACUUCGGUGAUAGUGGCGGACGGGUGAGUAAUACGUAGAUAAUCUGCCCUAAAGUGGGGGAUAACUAAUCGAAAGAUUAGCUAAUACCGCAUAAUGUGGAUGGUUGAGAUACUAUCCAAUAAAGGAGUAAUCCGCUUAUGGAGGAGUCUAUGGCUGAUUAGCUAGUUGGUGGGGUAAAGGCUUACCAAGGCGAUGAUCGGUAGCUGGUCUGAGAGGACGAUCAGCCACACUGGGACUGAGACACGGCCCAGACUUCUACGGAAGGCAGCAGUGGGGAAUUUUCCGCAAUGGGCGAAAGCCUGACGGAGCGACACCGCGUGGAGGAUGAAGUUUUUCGGAAUGUAAACUCCUUUCGACAGGGACGAAAAAAAUGACGGUACCUGUAUAAGAAGCAUCGGCUAACUACGUGCCAGCAGCCGCGGUAAUACGUAGGAUGCAAGCGUUGUUCGGAAUUACUGGGCGUAAAGAGUACGUAGGCGGUUUACUAAGUCUUUUAUUAAAGACCGAAGCUCAACUUCGGGAAUGUAAAGGAAACUGGUAGACUAGAGGUCAGAAGGGGAAAUCGGAAUUCUUAGUGUAGCGGUGAAAUGCGUAGAUAUUAGGAAGAACACCAGUGGCGAAAGCGGAUUUCUGGUCUGAAACUGACGCUGAGGUACGAAGGCGUGGGGAGCAAACGGGAUUAGAUACCCCGGUAGUCCACGCGGUAAACGAUGGAUACUAUGUGUAAUGGGAAUCGACCCCUGUUGUGCCGAAGCUAACGCGAUAAGUAUCCCGCCUGGGGAGUAUGGGCCGCAUGUUGAAACUCAAAGGAAUUGACGGGGGCCCG